RNAcentral lists this ribosomal RNA (254 nucleotides) under uncultured bacterium. RNAcentral's name for it is "partial 16S ribosomal RNA". It matches the Rfam family "Bacterial small subunit ribosomal RNA", at positions 524 to 776 of the family's 1533-position model. The record is from RNAcentral.
UACGAAGGGGGCUAGCGUUGUUCGGAAUCACUGGGCGUAAAGCGCACGUAGGCGGAUCUUUAAGUCAGGGGUGAAAUCCCGAGGCUCAACCUCGGGAACUGCCUUUGAUACUGGGGAUCUCGAGUCCGGGAGAGGUGAGUGGAACUGCGAGUGUAGAGGUGAAAUUCGUAGAUAUUCGCAAGAACACCAGUGGCGAAGGCGGCUCACUGGCCCGGAACUGACGCUGAGGUGCGAAAGCGUGGGGAGCAAACAGG